Long non-coding RNA from Vigna unguiculata (cowpea), 247 nucleotides. The record is from RefSeq and is a predicted model, not a curated record. NCBI's taxonomy places the organism in Eukaryota, Viridiplantae, Streptophyta, Magnoliopsida, Fabales, Fabaceae.
CAAGAAAGUAAGAACAGUUUUUCUCUCUUCGGUUUUCUUCCGUGUCUCACUCUUUUUUGCGAAACAUAGUUCACAUUCUGCUGUGUCAUGGCUGUGAAACUAAGGUAUUUUGCAGUAUCAAAUUGAAUUGGGUUCAAUUUCCAGAUUCUUCCAUUGAACAUGAGAAACACAAUAGUAUCGAAGCAGACCUCGGAUCCAGAAAAACAAAGGUUACAUUAAAGAAACAUGCUCUUUUACUACAUUUUCU